CUGGCGAGGUGCUGCGGGCGGCAGGACCCUGUCCCGGUUCCGCAAGCAGCUGCUUCGGCCGUGAGGGCCCGCGGCUCAACAGCGGUCGGAGGCCCUCCAGGAGCCUGCUCCCUGAGCGCUGCCCCAAGCAUUUUGCUUAAGAGCAGCCGGUGCCAGGCGGGACGGACGUUUUGGCUGGGAAAUCUGUUGCAGAAGAGAGGUACUGUGAGUGGGCUGCCAAGUGCAAAGAAGAAAUUACUUCCUGAACACUUUUAAGUGUUCAUUUCACAGUAUUUCAGCUCUUCUGAGAAUGUCAACCCUUUUUUGAGAUCUGCGAAGACAAUAACCGUAUUUGCCAUAGAUGUCAGAAGGUGGCAGAAGAGAAGGGACGUUGAGGUAGGUUCUGUAUAAAAAAUGAUGAGAAAAUUGCAGCUUUGGAAAAGGUCUUUGAUUGGCAUCUACAUCUUGACCUGCUUCAACCAGUCCAGCCAAGGAAUCCUUCUGCUCGGGGUGAAACAGAAGGGUCUAUAAUGAUUAUUACAGCAGGUUUCUUCAUGCGCAUCUGGAUUUGAGCUGGACCUACUAUUUUUCUCUCUGAAAAUGAAAAAUUGAGUACAGCAGCCGACUUUCUCAGUCUUGAGGAUUUUUGUAAGUAAUAGCCAUACUUCUUUUGUGUGUAGUAAGGCAUGUUUUUCUCUACAGUGGAAGAAAGCACACAAAUUAAAGUUAGGCAAUUGCAGGAUAAAAGCAUGGAUCUUAGCAACUGUAAAACCUUACUUGUUGUCAUGUAUCUUCCAGGAGUUAAUCAGAACCUCUCUUGGAGUUCAUACCGACAUUCAGAUUUCCUGACAGAAAAGGUGUAGGGGUUGCAUGCAUGGUUGUGGGUAUUUUCCUGUGAUUGUAGUGCACAUGCUGUUUGUUCUGAGCAGUCUCUCAGCUACAGCCUCUACUUCAAAAAAAUUAGUAUUUUGGGCCUGAGCAUGCUAAAACUCUGAUCUUUCUUUCGUGGGGAGCACAGGGAAGUAUGCACCUACACCCAUUAGUUUCAGUGGCUUGCUCUUCUGCAGGCUUGCCUCUAGAGUAAGGAUGAUGAGAACAUAUUUGUGAGAUAAGUAUGCCUCUGCUUUGUUUGAGAAGUUUUACUUUGGUGCUUGGUUGGUGCUGUGGACUGCUUGUUACUCAGACUGGAAUCAUGAUGGAGGCACUCUCAUGUGUACAUAUGUCCGGAAACCCUCAGGUACCCACAGGAUUAGGCAGCAGCUUGCUAGUGCUUUUAAAAACAUCACUUGUGACUAAGAAGUGAAUUGGAUAUCUAACCACAUUAAGAAGCCUGUGAUUUAUUUAUCAAUGAAACAAAUCUUUCACUGUGAGGAUCUUAUUUGCAUUUUUCUGUCCCUGUUAGCAGAACACCUUUUUUAAUUGCUCAUGCCUGCAUAAAAACUGUAUUAGAUUUACUCCCUUUCUUAGCUCUUUGUAUUGCCUUCUGCAAACCUACUGGGAUCAGGCAGCAGCAACCUGAGGAUAAAAGUAGCUUGAAUCAAAUUCUUAUGCAGAGGCCAAUUCCCUUAAACCACAACAGUACAAAGGUACAUGUGUCUUACGAUUCAGGACCGUAUUGCUACUUUAUUAUCAUCUUGAAGUUGACAAUCAGAGAAAGAAAGACAAAAUGUUGUACAAAAAAUGGUUAGAGUCACAGUCCAGGUAGAAUUUUAUCAGUUAGGAAGUAUAACUGUUAUUACAGUUGCCUAAUUUCAUAUGCAGUGAUGAAACUAUGGCUAGAAAACAGUUGAAGGCAAUGUUUCCUUAUUGUUGUGGUUGUUUGGGUACCCAAAAUGAGGACUUCAUGUAGGUAAAGUUCUACGGGUGCCUGCCACAGAAGGUUUCCAUUACAGCAAGUUUGAAUUUUUCUUGACAGUAAAUUGAAAAAUGAUGGCAGUGUUUGAUACUAGUAUUGCUCUGACUUUAAAUACACACUUAGCAAGUGCAGUGGGCGUACGAAGGUUAACUAUAUGAAUUGACAUUAGUCAGUGUUUUUAGUCAGUGUUUUACAAUGUUAAAGUGUUGUGUAGGAGUAUAAAAUAAUGUGUCAAUAAAGAGGGGAAAAACUUCUGACAGAAAACUGAAAUAAUUUACAUAUUCAGAGGUAAAGCAGCAGGAAUUCAAGAAAACAGAUUUUGUUUCUAGGCUGACUUUGUCACUUACAAAGGCACUAUUGUGUAAAUACUCAUUAAGUAAUUCAUUACCACAUGAAUUCUGUUCACAACACAUGACUUCAUGAGCCAUGUGAUAAGUACUAGGAAACCAGGGGUUAUGAAAUGCAUUGACAUGCUAAAGUG
This is a long non-coding RNA of Neopsephotus bourkii (Bourke's parrot), 2315 nucleotides long. RefSeq lists it as uncharacterized. The record is from RefSeq and is a predicted model, not a curated record. The transcript has 3 exons. NCBI's taxonomy places the organism in Eukaryota, Metazoa, Chordata, Aves, Psittaciformes, Psittacidae.